GUCUGCAUGUCUUAUUCAGUUAUAUUCAUGGAAUUGUAAGUUUAUUUUCGAUUUAUGAGUUUGCUGUUCAUCUGGUAUCUUUAGUCCCAAUAUUACAAUUUAUCUGUUUUAAUAUGAUUGUCUUGAACCUCUUUUUCAUAGUUCAGUGAGUGACUAUAUAGCUACUCGAAGAAUUGUUUGCUUUGUUGAUUCUCUAUUAUAAGUU
This 205-nucleotide long non-coding RNA is filed under the name Mytilus galloprovincialis (Mediterranean mussel). Lineage: Eukaryota; Metazoa; Mollusca; Bivalvia; Mytilida; Mytilidae. The record is from RNAcentral.